This 1419-nucleotide ribosomal RNA is filed under the name uncultured bacterium. RNAcentral's name for it is "16S ribosomal RNA". It matches the Rfam family "Bacterial small subunit ribosomal RNA". The record is from RNAcentral.
AGAGUUUGAUCCUGGCUCAGAUUGAACGCUGGCGGCAGGCCUAACACAUGCAAGUCGAGCGGUAGCACAGAGAGCUUGCUCUCGGGUGACGAGCGGCGGACGGGUGAGUAAUGUCUGGGAAACUGCCUGAUGGAGGGGGAUAACUACUGGAAACGGUAGCUAAUACCGCAUAACGUCGCAAGACCAAAGUGGGGGACCUUCGGGCCUCAUGCCAUCAGAUGUGCCCAGAUGGGAUUAGCUAGUAGGUGGGGUAAUGGCUCACCUAGGCGACGAUCCCUAGCUGGUCUGGGAGGAUGACCAGCCACACUGGAACUGAGACACGGUCCAGACUCCUACGGGAGGCAGCAGUGGGGAAUAUUGCACAAUGGGCGCAAGCCUGAUGCAGCCAUGCCGCGUGUGUGAAGAAGGCCUUCGGGUUGUAAAGCACUUUCAGCGGGGAGGAAGGCGAUAAGGUUAAUAACCUUGUCGAUUGACGUUACCCGCAGAAGAAGCACCGGCUAACUCCGUGCCAGCAGCCGCGGUAAUACGGAGGGUGCAAGCGUUAAUCGGAAUUACUGGGCGUAAAGCGCACGCAGGCGGUCUGUCAAGUCGGAUGUGAAAUCCCCGGGCUUAACCUGGGAACUGCAUUCGAAACUGGCAGGCUAGAGUCUUGUAGAGGGGGGUAGAAUUCCAGGUGUAGCGGUGAAAUGCGUAGAGAUCUGGAGGAAUACCGGUGGCGAAGGCGGCCCCCUGGACAAAGACUGACGCUCAGGUGCGAAAGCGUGGGGAGCAAACAGGAUUAGAUACCCUGGUAGUCCACGCCGUAAACGAUGUCGAUUUGGAGGUUGUGCCCUUGAGGCGUGGCUUCCGGAGCUAACGCGUUAAAUCGACCGCCUGGGGAGUACGGCCGCAAGGUUAAAACUCAAAUGAAUUGACGGGGGCCCGCACAAGCGGUGGAGCAUGUGGUUUAAUUCGAUGCAACGCGAAGAACCUUACCUGGUCUUGACAUCCACAGAACUUUCCAGAGAUGGAUUGGUGCCUUCGGGAACUGUGAGACAGGUGCUGCAUGGCUGUCGUCAGCUCGUGUUGUGAAAUGUUGGGUUAAGUCCCGCAACGAGCGCAACCCUUAUCCUUUGUUGCCAGCGGUCCGGCCGGGAACUCAAAGGAGACUGCCAGUGAUAAACUGGAGGAAGGUGGGGAUGACGUCAAGUCAUCAUGGCCCUUACGACCAGGGCUACACACGUGCUACAAUGGCAUAUACAAAGAGAAGCGACCUCGCGAGAGCAAGCGGACCUCAUAAAGUAUGUCGUAGUCCGGAUUGGAGUCUGCAACUCGACUCCAUGAAGUCGGAAUCGCUAGUAAUCGUAGAUCAGAAUGCUACGGUGAAUACGUUCCCGGGCCUUGUACACACCGCCCGUCACACCAUGGGAGUGGGUUGCA